RNAcentral lists this ribosomal RNA (433 nucleotides) under uncultured bacterium. Its description in RNAcentral is "partial 16S ribosomal RNA". It matches the Rfam family "Bacterial small subunit ribosomal RNA", at positions 29 to 507 of the family's 1533-position model. The record is from RNAcentral.
AACGAACGCUGGCGGCAUGCCUAACACAUGCAAGUCGAACGAGACCUUCGGGUCUAGUGGCGCACGGGUGCGUAACGCGUGGGGACCUGCCCUUAGGUUCGGAAUAACUCCCCGAAAGGGGUGCUAAUACCGGAUAAUGUCUUCGGACCAAAGAUUUAUCGCCUUUGGAUGGGCCCGCGUUGGAUUAGCUAGUUGGUAGGGUAAAAGCCUACCAAGGCGACGAUCCAUAGCUGGUCUGAGAGGAUGAUCCGCCACACUGGGACUGAGACACGGCCCAGACUCCUACGGGAGGCAGCAGUGGGGAAUAUUGGACAAUGGGCGAAAGCAUGAUCCAGCAAUGACGCGUGAGUGAUGAAGGCCUUAGGGUUGUAAAGCUCUUUUACCCGGGAUGAUAAUGACAGUACCGGGAGAAUAAGCUCCGGCUAACUCCGUG